AAGUCAUAACAAGGUUUCCGUAGGUGAACCUGCGGAAGGAUCAUUAAUAAUGCCCUCUGACUUCGGUCAGCUGGGUUCAAAUGAGUGCCUUCUCUUCGGAGUUGGCCAUCCUCACACACCGUGAACUGUGGCUUCGGCCAUCACAAACUGUUAGUAAUGAAUGUAAUAUCAUAACAAAAACAAAACUUUUAACAACGGAUCUCUUGGCUCUC
This 212-nucleotide unclassified non-coding RNA is filed under the name Vishniacozyma carnescens. RNAcentral describes it as "partial internal transcribed spacer region". The stretch from base 1 to 46 matches the Rfam family "Eukaryotic small subunit ribosomal RNA", at positions 1786 to 1831 of the family's 1831-position model. The record is from RNAcentral. Lineage: Eukaryota; Fungi; Basidiomycota; Tremellomycetes; Tremellales; Bulleribasidiaceae. RNAcentral also lists the same sequence under 1 other name.